GAUGAACGCUGGCGGCGUGCUUAACACAUGCAAGUCGAACGGAAAGGCCACAGCUUGCUGUGGUACUCGAGUGGCGAACGGGUGAGUAACACGUGGGUGAUCUGCCCUGUACUUCGGGAUAAGCUUGGGAAACUGGGUCUAAUACCGGAUAGGAAUCACAUGUGGGUGUGUGGUUGGAAAGCUUUUGCGGUAUGGGACGAGCUCGCGGCCUAUCAGCUUGUUGGUGGGGUAAUGGCCUACCAAGGCGUCGACGGGUAGCCGGCCUGAGAGGGGGUACGGCCACAUUGGGACUGAGAUACGGCCCAGACUCCUACGGGAGGCAGCAGUGGGGAAUAUUGCACAAUGGGCGCAAGCCUGAUGCAGCGACGCCGCGUGGGGGAUGACGGCCUUCGGGUUGUAAACUCCUUUCGUCAGGGACGAAGCGAAAGUGACGGUACCUGGAGAAGAAGCACCGGCUAACUACGUG
RNAcentral lists this ribosomal RNA (466 nucleotides) under uncultured bacterium. RNAcentral's name for it is "partial 16S ribosomal RNA". It matches the Rfam family "Bacterial small subunit ribosomal RNA", at positions 28 to 507 of the family's 1533-position model. The record is from RNAcentral.